GUCUUCGGAUGAGUAGAGCGGCGGACGGGUGAGUAACGCGUAGGAAUCUACCUGGUAGUGGGGGAUAACUCGGGGAAACUCGAGCUAAUACCGCAUACGUCCUGAGGGAGAAAGCGGGGGAUCGCAAGACCUCGUGCUAUCAGAUGAGCCUGCGUAGGAUUAGCUAGUUGGUGGGGUAAAGGCCCACCAAGGCGACGAUCCUUAGCUGGUCUGAGAGGAUGACCAGCCACACUGGGACUGAGACACGGCCCAGACUCCUACGGGAGGCAGCAGUGGGGAAUAUUGGACAAUGGGGGCAACCCUGAUCCAGCCAUGCCGCGUGUGUGAAGAAGGCCUUCGGGUUGUAAAGCACUUUCAGCGGGGAGGAAGGCGUCGUGACUAAUAUUCACGGCGAUUGACGUUACCCGCAGAAGAAGCACCGGCUAACUCCGUGCCAGCAGCCGCGGUAAUACGGAGGGUGCGAGCGUUUAUCGGAAUUACUGGGCGUAAAGCGCGCGUAGGCGGCUUGUUAAGUCGGAUGUGAAAUCCCCGGGCUCAACCUGGGAACUGCAUCCGAUACUGGCGAGCUGGAGUGCGAUAGAGGGGGGGUAGAAAUUCCUGGGUGUAGCGGUGAAAAUGCGUAGAUAUCAGGAGGAAUACCGGUGGCGAAGGCGGCCCCCUGGAUCGACACUGACGCUGAGGUGCGAAAGCGUGGGCAGCAAACAGGAUUAGAUACCCUGGUAGUCCACGCCGUAAACGAUGUCUACUAGCCGUUGGAGAUCUUGAAUCUUUAGUGGCGCAGCUAACGCGAUAAGUAGACCGCCUGGGGAGUACGGCCGCAAGGUUAAAACUCAAAUGAAUUGACGGGGGCCCGCACAAGCGGUGGAGCAUGUGGUUUAAUUCGACGCAACGCGAAGGACCUUACCUGGCCUUGACAUCCUGCGAACUUUCUAGAGGUAGAUUGGUGCCUUCGGGAGCGCAGAGACAGGUGCUGCAUGGCUGUCGUCAGCUCGUGUCGUGAGAUGUUGGGUUAAGUCCCGUAACGAGCGCAACCCUUGUCCUUAGUUGCUAGCAGGUUAAGCUGAGAACUCUAAGG
Molecule: ribosomal RNA, 1075 nt
Filed under: uncultured Gammaproteobacteria bacterium
Lineage: Bacteria; Pseudomonadati; Pseudomonadota; Gammaproteobacteria
Description: bacterial SSU rRNA
Rfam family: Bacterial small subunit ribosomal RNA
Source: RNAcentral